GACGAACGCUGGCGGCGUGCCUAAUACAUGCAAGUAGAACGCUGAAGGAGGAGCUUGCUUCUCUGGAUGAGUUGCGAACGGGUGAGUAACGCGUAGGUAACCUGCCUGGUAGCGGGGGAUAACUAUUGGAAACGAUAGCUAAUACCGCAUAAGAGUAGAUGUUGCAUGACAUUUGCUUAAAAGGUGCAAUUGCAUCACUACCAGAUGGACCUGCGUUGUAUUAGCUAGUUGGUGGGG
RNAcentral lists this ribosomal RNA (237 nucleotides) under uncultured Streptococcus sp. Its description in RNAcentral is "partial 16S ribosomal RNA". It matches the Rfam family "Bacterial small subunit ribosomal RNA", at positions 28 to 257 of the family's 1533-position model. The record is from RNAcentral. Lineage: Bacteria; Bacillati; Bacillota; Bacilli; Lactobacillales; Streptococcaceae.